RNAcentral lists this ribosomal RNA (539 nucleotides) under Assurger anzac (razorback scabbardfish). RNAcentral's name for it is "partial 16S ribosomal RNA". It matches the Rfam family "Bacterial large subunit ribosomal RNA", at positions 1913 to 2601 of the family's 2925-position model. The record is from RNAcentral. Lineage: Eukaryota; Metazoa; Chordata; Actinopteri; Scombriformes; Trichiuridae.
UGACUAUAUGUUUAACGGCCGCGGUAUUUUGACGUGCGAAGGUAGCGCAAUCACUUGUCUUUUAAUUGUAGACCUGUAUGAAUGGCAAAACGAGGGCUUAACUGUCUCCUUUUUUAGGUCAAUGAAAUUGAUCUCCCCGUGCAGAAGCGGGGAUAAAACCAUAAGACGAGAAGACCCUAUGAAGCUUUAGACACCAAGGCAUAUCAUGUUUAACACCCCAGAAUAAAGGAUCUAAACUUAAUGACCCAUGCCCCUAUGUCUUUGGUUGGGGCGACCACGGGGAAAUAAAAAACCCCCACGUGGAAUAGUAGCACUAAUACUACUACAACCAAGAGCUACAGCUCUAAUAAACAGAACUUCUGACCAACAAGAUCCGGCAGCGCCGAUCAACGGACCGAGUUACUCUAGGGAUAACAGCGCAAUCCCCUUUUUAGAGGCCGCAUCAACAAGGGGGUUUACGACCUCGAUGUUGGAUCAGGACAUCCUAAUGGUGCAGCCGCUAUUAAGGGUUCGUUUGUUCAACGAUUAAAGUCCUACGU